Molecule: long non-coding RNA, 1945 nt
Filed under: Anas platyrhynchos platyrhynchos (common mallard)
Lineage: Eukaryota; Metazoa; Chordata; Aves; Anseriformes; Anatidae
Description: lncRNA (ENSAPLG00000020409.1)
Source: RNAcentral
AUGUUUUCUUGGUGUUCCCAUCAGGAAAACCUCUCUGCUCCAGCACAGGACUGGAGAGGGAGAGGUCCCAACCCCAUCCUCCAUCCCUGCCUAAUGCCAAGGCACAGCAGCAAGCAGCUAGUUUGGGGCUGGCUGCUCCUCUUUGAGCACCUGACCCUACAGUCUGAAAGGCCGCUUGCUCUGGGCUUCUUACAUUUUAUUGUUACUGUUCUCACCGAGUUCCUUUGUGCCGUGACUCAUUUUUUUGCCCUAAGCUGUCAGUCUGUGGUGACUCAGCCACUGCUGCAGGGUGCCAGAGGCCGCUUCUCCCCCAGGUUUGCCGACGAGCUGAGCGUGCUGCUGAGGCUCAGGUACUCGCUGAAGGAGGACACCAGCCUGGUGACCAUCCUGAGCCACCGGAGCCGCGUGCUCUUCCAGAUCCGGGUGAGCCCCUACGGCCUGGUCUUUGUCACCACGAGGAGGAGACACUAUGAGUUCCCAGUUUCCCAGCUCAGCGACGGGCGCUGGCACCGAGUGGCUCUCGGCAUCUCCUCGGAGGGGCUGGAGCUGCACGUGGACUGCCGGCUGGUGGGGAGAGCGAGCUGGUCCGGCCACAUCGGGAUGGGAGUGAGCACGGAGGGGCUGGUCGUCCUCGGGGGCCUGGUCGAGGCCUUCGAGAUCCCCUUCGAGGGUGCCCUCCAGCAGCUGAUCUUCGUGAUGGGAGACCCAGCAGCCGCCAACGAGCACUGCCACAGCUACGGCAAAGCGUGCGCCCCCCGCCUCAGCCGCCUGCUGUCCCCGGGGGACCUCUCACCACCCGCAUGGCCAGAGGUGUGGCUGAGGGCAGCUGCCAAAUCCUGGGGGUGCUGGACCGGGCUCCUGUGUGGAGUAACCUGUUCCGAGUGCAAGGACCAAGCCAGGGGGUUAGGGGAGCCUGGAAGGACUCAGGUUUCUGCUCUGAGCUGAGAUUUGGGGAGGUGGUGGUGGUGGUGGGUAUGCCAUCAUCCAGACCCUCCCAUGAAGUCACAGAUGGGCUUGGUGCAAAGGGGAGAAUGAGUUAGAGGAAACAUUUUGGAGCCAAAGCUGGGUGUGUGCCUGACUGCCCAAGUGUUGAGCACAGGGAAGUUGUGCUCAGCCCUGGAGUAACGCUGCAGCUCCCUGCUGGGAGUGGGGCAGAGCUGGGACCAGGAGCUGUGCAUCGGUUCGAAGGUCUUGCUCAUGUCCAGCAAGAUUGCUGCAUUGCAUCAGCCUUUGGAAGGCUUUUCCCUCUAUAUCGUCAAUGGGAAUUUUGUGGGGUUUAUUUUAUUACUGUUCAUCAUUUUGUUUUAAGUAAUACAUCCGUCUCCCCAAGCCUGGAUCCCACAGUAAAUUCCCAAGGACACAAAGCACCCAGGCUUUCCUCGUGAGCCAGGAGGUUGCCCAAGGAGCAACUUUAUCUCUUGGCCAGGUGUUGAAGUCCACUAAGAUAGAUUUCUGGUGGCAUGAGGGCACUUACCCUUAGCACCCAGUGGCUGAAGACUUAGGCCAGCAGGGCUUUGCAGCUGCCUGGACAAGGCUUGCUGAAGGCAAGGGCUUAAUGGCAGGGUUUGCAUCAGCCUCCUGUGGGUAACACCCUUCCCUGGGGCUGCAGUGAGGGGCUGGAAAGGGCAGCGUCAGGGAGGGAGCUGGGUGUGGGAUGGGAGAUCUGCCCUGCCAGGUCCUGCCUGCUGCUUCGUCCCAGUGCCAGCAGCAGGGACGGCCGGGGCAGGUAAUGCAGAGCAGUGAAAAGCGGCCCGUGGUGGUGAUCUGCCUGCUUCGAGGGAGACCGCUGAGUUCCCAGGACACGUAACCCCCGGUCAUCCCCCAAAUGACCCCAGGCAUGUCCCUGCUGACCGCCCUCAGGUGCUGGCUGGGGUGCUGCGAGGUAAAUCAAGUUCCCUCCCUGCAGCUAAGAAAUGAGGGCAAAUCUCUGGUUUGGCAGCUACAU